GUUUUCUCUCUGCUUCAGUUGGUUUUCUUCAAUUUUAGAUUUUCGAUUUUAAAUCCCCAGGCUAUUACUAAACCAGUUACAGAUGAAUGUGCUCUCAUUGAAGAAAAUGCGGAAUUCAUUUUCGGCAAUCUUACUUACUUGAAUUUGUUGACGUGGAUGAGAAUCAAAUAGCGCAAUGGAACCGUAGAACCCCUCCCCUCAAGAUUUUGGAGUCACCUCGAAUGGACGAAGAAGCACAAUAACUUUGUCUAUGAGAAUCGUCAUUUGUCCCCAGAAAUGCCUAAUUAGUUGCAGUUGGAAGAAGAAAAAAUUAACCAUACAUCCAUCAUAGCUAGCUGACUACCUCCCAUCCUCCCAAACCAUACCUUUGUCUAUGGUGGCAGACUAGCAGUUGAGGUUAGCAGACUUGCAAGCAUUAAGGUUGAGAGACAGAC
Molecule: long non-coding RNA, 434 nt
Organism: Papaver somniferum (opium poppy)
Lineage: Eukaryota; Viridiplantae; Streptophyta; Magnoliopsida; Ranunculales; Papaveraceae
Exons: 3
Source: RefSeq, a predicted model, not a curated record